UCCCCGGUAGCUCAGUCGGUAGAGCGUCGGACUGUUAAUCCGCAGGUCGCUGGUUCGAGUCCAGCCCGGGGAGCCA
This 76-nucleotide transfer RNA is filed under the name Gammaproteobacteria bacterium. RNAcentral describes it as "tRNA-Asn". It matches the Rfam family "tRNA". Rfam says of the family: Transfer RNA (tRNA) molecules are approximately 80 nucleotides in length. Their secondary structure includes four short double-helical elements and three loops (D, anti-codon, and T loops). The record is from RNAcentral. Lineage: Bacteria; Pseudomonadati; Pseudomonadota; Gammaproteobacteria. RNAcentral also lists the same sequence under 1 other name.